AAGGGCCGUUGAAGACGACGACGUAGAUAGGCUGGGUGUGUAAGCGUAGCGAUACGUUGAGCUAACCAGUACUAAUGACCCGAGAGGCUUAACCUUACAACACCGAAGGUGUUU
RNAcentral lists this ribosomal RNA (114 nucleotides) under Pectobacterium odoriferum. RNAcentral's name for it is "Pectobacterium carotovorum subsp. odoriferum partial 23S ribosomal RNA". The stretch from base 1 to 96 matches the Rfam family "Bacterial large subunit ribosomal RNA", at positions 2830 to 2925 of the family's 2925-position model. Lineage: Bacteria; Pseudomonadati; Pseudomonadota; Gammaproteobacteria; Enterobacterales; Pectobacteriaceae. The record is from RNAcentral.